Long non-coding RNA from Notolabrus celidotus (New Zealand spotty), 693 nucleotides. RefSeq lists it as uncharacterized. Lineage: Eukaryota; Metazoa; Chordata; Actinopteri; Labriformes; Labridae. The transcript is spliced from 5 exons. The record is from RefSeq and is a predicted model, not a curated record.
GAUAGGCACAUUACCCUGAGGAAAAAGUGUUUUUAAUGCAGUUAAAACAUAAAUGCCCCCCAGAGUUCUGCCAGUACCGCGCCUGGACCAGGACCAUCCCGCGUUUCCACCUUGACAGAACAACGCACAGGCACCAGUAAAUCAACUCAAUUGACACCAGGAUCAAAUUUCCCCACACUGAAUGAUCAUUCUGAUAAUUACUAAGGAAGGCAUGCUAUAUCCAGAGAAGAGCUGGAAAAUGUUCUCAUUUUGAAAACCACCUUUGCUGAAGCUGCUUCCAUUCUUGGAGUGAAAAAAGAAACUAAUUUGAAGAUACAUUUAUUAUUUAACCACAUAAUUAGAGACCAUCACAGAUAAAGUAAAUACAUAUGGGUAUUAUCCCUCUUGAGAGAGAACCCCUGCUUGUACUGCUUGACAAACCAGAGGAAGGCCAAGAGCUGGGAACCAACUUCAUUGCUGGUGUCCUCAAGCCAAGCUACUCUGUUUUGGGGAGUAACAGGAGAGCUAAGGAGGAGAUGACGGUGGUAAAAUUUCUGGAAUUUCUACAGUGUGUGGAAAACCAGACACAUGUACUGCAGGAUCAACUUGGCUGUUCCUGUACUGGACACAUGUUUUGGCCAGGGUAACACCAGGCCAGACUUCAGGCUGAGCAGAGAGUCUCUGGCAGUGCUGCUGGACCCCUCCACUGGGAGC